This 428-nucleotide ribosomal RNA is filed under the name uncultured eukaryote. RNAcentral's name for it is "bacterial SSU rRNA". It matches the Rfam family "Eukaryotic small subunit ribosomal RNA", at positions 592 to 1016 of the family's 1831-position model. The record is from RNAcentral.
CAAUAGUGUAUAUUAAAGUUGUUGCGGUUAAAAAGCUCGUAGUUGGAUUUCGGAAUGCAUCGAACACGGUCCUUCAAUUUGAAGUGUACUGGUUUUUUGCUUCCUUCUUUUGUAAUACGUUGUGAGAGUGACCAAAGCGUUUCUUUCACAUGUUUACAUUGUUUACUUUGAAAAAUUAGAGUGUUUAAAGCAGGCGUAACUUGCCUUUGAAUACAUUAGCAUGGGAUAAUAAAAUAUGACUAAGGUCUUAUUUUGUUGGUUUCUAAGGCUUCAGUAAUGAUUAAUAGGGAUAGUCGGGGCCACUAGUAUUGAUUUGUCAGAGGUGAAAUUCUAGGAUUUAAUCAAGACUAACUACUGCGAAAGCAUUUGGCAAGGAUGUUUUCAUUAAUCAAGAACGAAAGUUGGGGGAUCGAAGAUGAUCAGAUACC